UUGAUCUGAUCAACUGCAAGAUCAUGACCUACAGUUGAAAACAAGGGUUGGAUGCUUAAACUACUGAGCCAUCCAGAUGCCCCCAAGAUGUUUUAAAAAGUUAAAUCUCAGACACUAUCUCAAAGAAAUUUAAGAUCUUUUUUUAGUAAGAUAUCGACAUAAAUGUUUUUCAGUGUCUAAGCAUUUCUUAUGAAUUCUUCUGGUUCAAUUCAACUGUUUCUGUUUCUGAUCAACUAGGAGGGACUAUAACCUCAAAUACAAGAUGAGAAAGAACUACCACAUGCAAGUGUUUUUCCAGAUUUGGCCACAAGGGGGCUAUAAAUAAUAACCUACAAAUUGUGCCCUCUAAAACCUCUCAUCUGGACACCUUUGCCAUGAUUUUUGUCAACUCUUCCAGUUUCCCCACUCCAAGAUACAGAAACUUGUUCCUGACCCAAGUAGGAAGACUGACUGGAUACCUUCUAUGGACAGAUGUGAAGAUGACCAUAUACCAACUCACAGGACCAAUUUAAGAAUUUCAUUAAAGGCCACCUGGGUGGCCCAGUCAGUUAGGCAUCCAGCUUCAGCUCAGGUCAUGAUCUCUCCAUUCCCAAAUUUAAGCCCUGCAUCGGGCUCUGUGCUGAUAGCUCAGAGCCUGGAGGCUGUUUCAG
Molecule: long non-coding RNA, 650 nt
Organism: Felis catus (domestic cat)
Lineage: Eukaryota; Metazoa; Chordata; Mammalia; Carnivora; Felidae
Exons: 3
Source: RefSeq, a predicted model, not a curated record